GAUGAACGCUAGCGGCAGGCUUAAUACAUGCAAGUCGAGGGGCAGCAUGUCCCGACGCAAGUCGGGAUGAUGGCGACCGGCAAACGGGUGCGGAACACGUACAGAACCUUCCUUUAAGUGGGGAAUAGCCCAGAGAAAUUUGGAUUAAUACCCCGUAACAUUAUGAAAUGGCAUCAUUUUAUAAUUAUAGAUUUAUCGCCUAGAGAUGGCUGUGCGGCUGAUUAGGAGUUGGCGGGGGUAACGGCCCACCAAUCCUGCGAUCAGUAACUGGUGUGAGAGCACGACCAGUCACACGGGCACUGAGACACGGGCCCGACUCCUACGGGAGGCAGCAGUAAGGAAUAUUGGUCAAUGGACGAAAGUCU
RNAcentral lists this ribosomal RNA (365 nucleotides) under uncultured bacterium. RNAcentral's name for it is "bacterial SSU rRNA". It matches the Rfam family "Bacterial small subunit ribosomal RNA", at positions 28 to 384 of the family's 1533-position model. The record is from RNAcentral.